UUAGAGUUUGAUCCUGGCUCAGGAUGAACGCUAGCGAUAGGCCUAACACAUGCAAGUCGAGGGGUAACAGGGUAGCAAUACCGCUGACGACCGGCAAAUGGGUGAGUAACGCGUAUGCAACCUACCGAUAACAGUUGGAUAGCUCCCUGAAAGGGGAAUUAAACCGGCAUGAUACUAUUUAAUCGCCUGUUUAGAUAGUUAAAUAUUUAUAGGUUAUCGAUGGGCAUGCGUGACAUUAGCAAGUUGGUGAGGUAACGGCUCACCAAUGCUACGAUGUCUAGGGGUUCUGAGAGGAAGGUCCCCCACACUGGUACUGAGACACGGACCAGACUCCUACGGGAGGCAGCAGUGAGGAAUAUUGGUCAAUGGACGGAAGUCUGAACCAGCCACUUCGCGUGCAGGAUGACUGCCCUAUGGGUUGUAAACUGCUUUUAUAUAAGAGGAACAGUAUUUAUGUAUAGAUAUUUGCCAGUAUUAUAUGAAUAAGUCUCGGCUAACUACGUGCCAGCAGCCGCGGUAACACGUAGGAGGCAAACGUUAUCCGGAUUCACUGGGCGUAAAGCGCGUGUAGGUGGUUCUGUAAGUAGGGCGUGAAAGCUCCCGGCUCAACUGGGAGAGGCCGUACUAAACUGCAGAGCUAGAGGAUGGUAGAGGGAGGUGGAAUUCCAGGUGUAGUGGUGAAAUGCGCAGAUAUCUGGAGGAACACCAGUGGCGAAGGCGGCCUCCUGGACCAUUCCUGACACUCAGACGCGAAAGCUAGGGUAGCAAACGGAAUUAGAGACUCCGGUAGUCCUAGCCCUAAACGAUGAUAACUCGCUGUCGGCGAUACACAGUCGGUGGCCAAGCGAAAGCAUUAAGUUAUCCACCUGGGGAGUACGACCGCAAGGUUGAAACUCAAAGGAAUUGACGGGGGCCCGCACAAGCGGAGGAACAUGUGGUUUAAUUCGAUGAUACGCGAGGAACCUUACCCGGGCUCGAACGGUGCAUGAAUAUACGAGAGAUUGUAUAGUCCUUCGGGACAUGUAUCGAGGUGCUGCAUGGUUGUCGUCAGCUCGUGCCGUGAGGUGUUGGGUUAAGUCCCGCAACGAGCGCAACCCCUACUGUCAGUUACUAACAGGUUAAGCUGAGGACUCUGGCGGAACUGCCGGUGUAAACCGUGAGGAGGGUGGGGAUGACGUCAAAUCAGCACGGCCCUUACAUCCAGGGCUACACACGUGUUACAAUGGCCGGUACAAAGGGCAGCUACACAGCGAUGUGAUGCUAAUCUCCAAAUCCGGUCUCAGUUCGGAUCGAAGUCUGCAACCCGACUUCGUGAAGCUGGAUUCGCUAGUAAUCGCGCAUCAGCCAUGGCGCGGUGAAUACGUUCCCGGGCCUUGUACUCACCGCCCGUCAAG
Molecule: ribosomal RNA, 1394 nt
Filed under: uncultured bacterium
Lineage: Bacteria
Description: bacterial SSU rRNA
Rfam family: Bacterial small subunit ribosomal RNA
Source: RNAcentral